AGAGUUUUGAUCAAGAUGAACUUUAGUGGUAUGCUUAACACAUGCAAGUCAGACAGGAUAUACAGGAAAUGGUGUUUCCAGUGGUGGAAGCGUUAUAAACCCUAAACUCACCUUCCCUUGGGAGGGAAACCACAUCUAGAAACGAUUGCUAAUACCUCGUAGGCUGAGGAACAAAAGGAGAAAUCCGCCCGAUGAGGGGCUCGCGUGUGAUUAGCUAGCUGGUGAGGCAAUAACUUACCAAGGAGAUGAUCAGUAGUUUGUCCGAGAGGAUGAUCAGCCACAGUUGGACUGAGACACUGCCCAGACUCCUAUGGGAGGCAACAGUGGGGAAUUUUAGAAAUGGGUGAAAGCCUUAUGGAUCAAUAUUGCGUGUCAAAAAAAUCCCAUGGGUCGUGAAAUUCUUUUCCUGGAGAAGAAGCAAUCAUGGUAUCUGGGGAAUAAGCAUCGGCUAACUACGUGGUAGCAGCCGCGGUAAUACAGAGUAUGCAAGCGUUAUCCGGAAUGAUUGGGCGUAAAGCGUCUGUAGGUGGCUUUUUAAGUCCGCCGUCAAAUCCCAGGGCUUAACCCUAGACCGAUGGUGGAAACUACCAACAUGGAGUAUGGUACGGGCAAAGGAAAUUUCCAGUGGAUCAGUGAAAUGCAUAGAGAUCAAAAAGAACACAAACGGUGAAAGCACACUGUUGGCCGACACUGACACUAAGAGACGAAAUCUAGGGGAGCGAAUGGGAUUAGAUACCCUAGUAGUCCUAGUCGUAAAUGAUGGAUACUAGGUGUUGUGCGUAUCGACCCAUGUAGUGUUGUAGCUAACGUGUUAAGUAUCCCGCUUGGGGAGUACAUUUGCAAGAAUGAAACACAAUGAAAUUGAUGGGGGCCCACACAACUGGAGGAUUAUGUGAUUUAAUUCGAUGCAAAGUGAAGAAACUUACCAGGGCUUGACAUGACGAGAAUCUUCUUGUAAGAGAGGGGUGCCUUCGGGAACGCGGACACAAAUGGUACAUGGCUGUCGUCAGUUCGUAGCAUUAGGUGUCGGGUUGUGUCUCGCAACGAGUGAAACCCUCGUGUUUAGUUGCCAUCGUUGAGUUUGGAACCCUGAACAGACUGCCGGAGAUAAGCCGGAGGAAGGUGAGGUUAACAUCAAGUCAUCAUACCCCUAAUUCCCUAGUCAACACACAUGCUACAAUGACCGAUAUAAAGGGUUGUGAUCACGUGAGAGUGAGCUAACCCCAAAAACCCAUCCUCACUUUGGAUUGCAGGCUGCAACUCACCUGCAUGAAACCGAAAAUCGCUAGUAAUCUCCAGUCAGCCAUACAACGGUGAAUUCGUUUUAGGAACUUGUCCGACCGCCCGUCACACAAUAGGAGUUAGUCAUGCCCGAAGUCGUUAUCUUAAUCGUAGGGAAGGGGAUGUCGAAGGCAGGGCUAGUGACUACAGUAAAGUUGUAACAAGGUAGUUACACUCGAAGGUGAGGCUA
Molecule: ribosomal RNA, 1471 nt
Filed under: Solanum arcanum
Lineage: Eukaryota; Viridiplantae; Streptophyta; Magnoliopsida; Solanales; Solanaceae
Description: bacterial SSU rRNA
Rfam family: Bacterial small subunit ribosomal RNA
Source: RNAcentral